CGGCGCGGAAAUACCGGGAGCUCAAGUGGUCGUCGCUUUUAUUGGGCCUAAAACGUCCGUCCCCUGUUUGGUAAAUCUGUGGGUAAAUCCCUCCCCUCAACGGAUUGAAUUUUGCAGAUACUGCCACACUAGGGACCGGGAGAGGUGUGGGGUACUCCAGGGGUAGGGGUAAAAUCCUGUCAUCCUUCGAGGACCACCAGUUGCGAAGGCCCCCCACUGUACCGGAUCCGACGGGCAGGGACUAAUCCUAGGGGCCCGAACCGGAUUAGAUACCCGGGUAGUCCUAGGUGUAUCCUCUGUGAACUUGGUGUCGGGGGUCCGCAAGGGGUCCCCGGAGCCGGAUUGAAGAUGUUAAGUUCACUGCCUGGGGAGUACGGUCGCAUGGCUGAAACUUAAAGGAAUUGGCGUGGGAGCACUGCAACGGGAGGAGCGUGCGGUUUAAUUGGAUUCACCGCCGGAAAAGUCACCGCCCCCUACUGUUAUAUGAAUACCAGCGUAUUGAGCUUGUCCGAUUUUCAAAGAGGUGGUGCAUGUCCGUCGUCAUUUCGUACUGUAAAACGUUCUGUUAAAUCAGAUAAUGAAUGGACACCCUCGUCUGUGGUCUCAACGGGUAUCUCCGCAGGCGGGGCACCCAAGAGAGCGCGUUGGUGUGAAACCAGAGGAAGACGAGUGCAACGACACAUCAGUUUUCCCGGAAUAUCCUGGGCUACAAGCGCUCUACAAAGGAUGGGACAAUGGGAAGCCAGGCCGAGAGGCCGAGCUAACCAAAAACCCGUUCAUAGUUGAGAUUCAGGAUUUUAACUCGCCCUCAUGAAUCCGGAUUCGGUAGUUAUCAUGCUUCAAUUUAGCGCG
RNAcentral lists this ribosomal RNA (852 nucleotides) under uncultured marine archaeon. RNAcentral's name for it is "SSU rRNA". It matches the Rfam family "Archaeal small subunit ribosomal RNA", at positions 463 to 1317 of the family's 1478-position model. The record is from RNAcentral.